UAUUUUGGCAGAUAAAAUGUGCUAGACUUAGGAUCUAGUUAAAUAGAUUAAUUCUAUAAAUAGUAAA
RNAcentral lists this transfer RNA (67 nucleotides) under Ranina ranina. RNAcentral's name for it is "tRNA-Leu". Lineage: Eukaryota; Metazoa; Arthropoda; Malacostraca; Decapoda; Raninidae. The record is from RNAcentral.